This 524-nucleotide ribosomal RNA is filed under the name uncultured Bacillota bacterium. Its description in RNAcentral is "bacterial SSU rRNA". It matches the Rfam family "Bacterial small subunit ribosomal RNA", at positions 894 to 1422 of the family's 1533-position model. The record is from RNAcentral. Lineage: Bacteria; Bacillati; Bacillota.
UUGAAACUCAAAGGAAUUGACGGGGGCCCGCACAAGCGGUGGAGUAUGUGGUUUAAUUCGAAGCAACGCGAAGAACCUUACCAGGGCUUGACAUCCCACUGACCGGUGUAGAGAUACACUUUUCUCUUCGGAGACAGUGGUGACAGGUGGUGCAUGGUUGUCGUCAGCUCGUGUCGUGAGAUGUUGGGUUAAGUCCCGCAACGAGCGCAACCCCUAUUGUUAGUUGCUACGCGAGAGCACUCUAGCGAGACUGCCGUUGACAAAACGGAGGAAGGUGGGGACGACGUCAAAUCAUCAUGCCCCUUAUGGCCAGGGCUACACACGUGCUACAAUGGCGUAAACAAAGGGAGGCAGAAUCGUGAGAUGGAGCAAAUCCCAAAAAUAACGUCCCAGUUCGGAUUGUAGUCUGCAACCCGGCUACAUGAAGCUGGAAUCGCUAGUAAUCGCGGAUCAGAAUGCCGCGGUGAAUACGUUCCCGGGUCUUGUACACACCGCCCGUCACACCAUGGGAGCCGGAAAUGCCC